GAGGCGGCCAUCCUGCUUGGCCAGCUGAAGGUUUGAGACUCAGGAUGGGGUCAUGGCUGAGACUAUGAGGGCUGCUCGUGCAUGACCCUGCCUGCUGGCCUCCAUGGGCCCACUAUCUGAAUGUGGUUACCCUUCUCCCCAGGACCAGACCAGGAGCUCCUGAGGACAGGGACUGAGUCUGCCUGAUUCAUCUCUGCAUUCCUAGCACUUACCUUGGUGCUUAGUGAAAGCUCGAACCUGCCUGGGUUCCCACCUUGUCUCUGCUACCCCCAGCUCUGUGAACUCAGAGUCAUUUUUCUCUCCCCGAGUGGCACCGGGCUCAGCAGACACUCUGGCCAUGAAGGCAUCUUCUGACUCAAGCAGGCUGGAGUGCAAUGGCGUGAUCUCGGCUCACUGCAACCUCUGCCUCCCAGGUUCAAGCAAUUCUCCUGCCUCAGCCUCCCGAGUAGCUGGGAUUAUAGGCAUGCACCACCACGCCCAGAGCCAACUACUAAGCCUGUAGCAGCCUCCCAAACUGCCCAGUCUUGUUCAGAUGCACCUCCAGAAACACAGGGGUCCAAAAUGCCCCUUCCCAGACACCCUGAGGAGUAGAACAGUGCCAGCAGGCUCCAGGGAUGAGGGACUAGCUACCACAUUCCCUUUCCCAAGCCUCAGUUUCCCCACCUGUAAGAUGAGGGAUAUGGGCUCUGACUUUCUGAGUUUGGAAAAUAAAGUGCUCCCCAAACUGG
RNAcentral lists this long non-coding RNA (728 nucleotides) under Homo sapiens (human). RNAcentral's name for it is "long intergenic non-protein coding RNA 2517". Lineage: Eukaryota; Metazoa; Chordata; Mammalia; Primates; Hominidae. The record is from RNAcentral.